Long non-coding RNA from Stegodyphus dumicola, 830 nucleotides. The record is from RefSeq and is a predicted model, not a curated record. NCBI's taxonomy places the organism in Eukaryota, Metazoa, Arthropoda, Arachnida, Araneae, Eresidae.
UGCAUACUGCAGUAACAUUGUCUCUUCCAAAUUAUAGCUAUCUUUCACACACAGCUCAUUUUAAACGUUGGUUCUUCAAAUUUAAAACGCUAAUUUCUAUGUUGUCAAUUGCAUCUCCGCGCUCGGUGGCAUCAUUGCUACGUCACCACUCCUCACUGCAUGUUUCAGGGGGAAACGCUCUAUGAGCUAGCCCUUCACUGACAAUACUAGUUUUAAACUAGUCCUGACAAUACUAGUUUUAAACAGGCGAAGUCAGAGCAGGUGCAACAUAGUGACGUCAGACUACUUCCUGUUAACCCCCUAUGAGGAUUGCGCCGGCGAGGAUAUAAAUAUUAUUAUUAUACAAAGAUUUCAAUACCAGAUGGCAGCACAAGUAACAGCAGGAAAUUCUGCGGCAUCUGUUGGAAAAUAUUUUUAUUUAUUUGUUGAUGUCUACAGACGCUUGUUUCCAUGACACUGCCAGGCAGAUGUUUUGUCUAUGUCUUCAAGCAAAUACUAGCUGCGAGGGGAUUUGCCAAGAUGACUUACACCGACAGGUGUGCAUCGAGAAAAACCUGAUAAUCACGGUGCGAUGAAAUGAAGGCAAGAAGUGAAGGUCACGUCCAGCAACAAUAGCGGUUUUGUCCCAAGUUCCCCCUGUCUUGGGAUUUCUAUUGCCGCAUUUUCGAUGUUGAAAAUUUCAAGAAGCGGAAAAAAACUGUUUUGUGUUUCCUGGUCAAGGGCUGAAAAAAAUUGUUUAACUAUAAACAAUUCAAAAUUUUCCUUUUGUUUCGGAGGAAUUACAAUUAGUGGAAUCUCAAAGGUCAUGUUUCAAAUGCUGGGCAUCAUUC